AAUUCUCAACCUCAAAAAGCUUUAUGUUUUCUGAGGCUUGGAUGUGGAGGUUUUGCCGGCUCGUUAAGAGUCAGCUCCUCUGAAAUGCAUUAGUGGAAACUGUUUGUAAUCCGCAUUGGUGUGAUAAUUAUCAGCGCUAUUGUGGCUACAAGCUCAUGCAGUGUUCGUUUGGGAAGUGCAUUAACGUGCUCUUUCUGUUUUUACUUGACCUGCACGAGUAUAGUAUCUGCUUCAAACCGUCCUAAGUUACUGGACAAUACUUGACUA
This 267-nucleotide unclassified non-coding RNA is filed under the name uncultured Marasmius. RNAcentral's name for it is "sequence contains ITS2". Lineage: Eukaryota; Fungi; Basidiomycota; Agaricomycetes; Agaricales; Tricholomataceae. The record is from RNAcentral.